Long non-coding RNA from Alligator sinensis (Chinese alligator), 826 nucleotides. RefSeq lists it as uncharacterized. The transcript is spliced from 3 exons. The record is from RefSeq and is a predicted model, not a curated record. Lineage: Eukaryota; Metazoa; Chordata; Crocodylia; Alligatoridae.
CCUGCAGAAGAAAAAUAGAGAAAGGGGUGGUAACUGUUUUUCGAAAACCAGCUGGCUACCAUCUGGUUAAAACAAGACAGGACGGCAGUGUUAUUUGUAGGCAUCUGAGUCUGGGAGGAAAGGAGUGAGGCAUGUAACCCAAAAACAAAAGAGCAGAUUGAAAACCUGUUACAGAAUGGGAAGGAUAAAGAGCUGCGGGAUCGUCUCUGUUGCAGGCUGACAUUUGGGACUGCUGGCCUUCGCUCUGCUAUGGGAGCAGGCUUUUGCUACAUUAAUGACCUUACAGUGAUCCAGUCAACACAGAGCAACCAAAUGAUCAAGGAGCUAAAAGGAGUGACUUAUGGGGAGCAGUUACAAGACGUAAAUAUGUAGCUUUGCCCUAAAGACUGUUGAGGGAUCUGAACACUAGCAAGAAAGACUGUCCAAGUUGAUAUAAUUUGGUAUAUAAAGAGAGAUUAGGAAAAAGCUAUGGUGAAUUUCUGAACCAUGAGAUGUCUUAGCUUUUGGAUCAGGCUUCCUUGAAAUGGUUGAGCCUGAAAUGAAGUAUAUGAAGAAAGUACUUUCAGGGAGAUGGACUGGAUAACUACAUACAUCUCAUUCAUCUCUGGCAUUGGUAAUAAAAGUAAGAUUUGUUUUCAGUGUACUGUGUUUUACUGAAUAUUACUGCUUUGAUUCAGAGAUGUUGAUAUGCUGUUUGGGCAUGUACAGAGAUAACUUCACCUACCAUAAAUCCAGCAGCUUGCCUCAAAGUAGUUUUCUGUGAGGGUCCAGCUAUUAUCUCCAAAAAUGUUCUUAGAGCUUUUUUUUAAAAGCAGGCCCCCAAGCC